UUUUCUGGAAUUCGAAAGUGCCUUUAUUGACUAAUCAGCAUGGUUUAAAUAGUAAACCUACAACCAACUCUACGAAAAGAAAGCAACAGCUAGUCUACUACAGUAUGACUAGUCUACUCAACUGAUAACAACAACUAAACUAUGUCUCCUAAUCUUUAGGGAUAUUCCUAAAGAAUUGGUCUUCCUAAAGACUUGGUCAUCACAAACCAGAUUAGGAUUUCCACAAUUAUUCAAAUAAAACAAACUCUUUCACUUGGUAGGAUUUGGAUGUUCUUCAGUUAUACGGUGGCUUCCUUAAUUUCAUGGAUUUGUUUUGUGAUUUUUGAUUAGAUUAGUGUAUGUGAUUUGGCUUUGUUUGGUAGUCUGGGUUUUAUAUUUUCAAUGGUCCCAAGAUCCAAUUUUUUUUGAAGAUUCUGAGGGAAAAGGAUUGGGUUGAAAAGAAAUAGAACAAGAAUUUGGUGUUCAUUUGUCUGUUUGAUUCAUUAGGUUGCAACGAUAUUUUGGGCCAGCCAUAUUUGAAGCAUCAAAGCUAAAGGUUCUGUUUUUAGGAGUGAAUGAAAAGAAGCACCCCAGGAAUCUUCCAAGGACGUGCGCACUUAUUCGUAGUGAUGUAACCUCAAAGCUCACUCUUGCCAUCUCACAAACUAUAAACAACAUUUAGUUAACGUAGAGCAGAUGUUUCUGAGGAAAGAGGUCUUACUUUUGGAGUCUCUGUUGGAGUUGAAUGAGCUGACACAGAUAUCAGGAUUGUAAAGAAGGACAAGCCAGGAACUUCAAUGCAGUUGUACUUGGUUCUGGACACACCUGCAAAUGGCAUAAAGCAAUAUUGUCAAGUAGAUUUUGCAAAGCAACGUAGUGAUAUUGGUAACAGCGAGCUAUCAAAUUUGCAAGUAUUUUGAAUUCAGGUAUGAAUGUUUAAAUGUUGUUGGUAAUAAAAAGAAACACUGCCACCAGAGAUAUUACAAACACGGGCAGAUCCAUGUUUUCCAAAUCCAAAUCACUAAGACAAACGACUUCAUAGUAAAAGCAAUCUUUCCACACACAGAUCAUCAACCAGGUACCAGCACACCAGCUCAUCCACUGUAUGAAAAAAAAAAAAGAUUGGUUGAUAGAAGCAAGAAACAAUUGUUUGCUACCAAUCCAGAGAAAAAACCUCGCUGAGACAAGUAUUGAAUCAGCGGCCUCAACAACAGACACACAC
Rosa chinensis is the source of this 1201-nucleotide long non-coding RNA. RefSeq lists it as uncharacterized. The transcript is spliced from 5 exons. Lineage: Eukaryota; Viridiplantae; Streptophyta; Magnoliopsida; Rosales; Rosaceae. The record is from RefSeq and is a predicted model, not a curated record.